AACGACUCUCGGCAACGGAUAUCUCGGCUCACGCAUCGAUGAAGAACGUAGCAAAAUGCGAUACUUGGUGUGAAUUGCAGAAUCCCGUGAACCAUCGAGUUUUUGAACGCAAGUUGCGCCCAAAGCCAUCCGGCUAAGGGCACGCCUGCCUGGGCGUCACGCAUCGC
This 167-nucleotide ribosomal RNA is filed under the name Youngia paleacea. RNAcentral describes it as "5.8S ribosomal RNA". It matches the Rfam family "5.8S ribosomal RNA". From Rfam's summary of the family: 5.8S ribosomal RNA (5.8S rRNA) is a component of the large subunit of the eukaryotic ribosome. It is transcribed by RNA polymerase I as part of the 45S precursor that also contains 18S and 28S rRNA. Lineage: Eukaryota; Viridiplantae; Streptophyta; Magnoliopsida; Asterales; Asteraceae. The record is from RNAcentral.